Long non-coding RNA from Amphimedon queenslandica, 454 nucleotides. RefSeq lists it as uncharacterized. The record is from RefSeq and is a predicted model, not a curated record. The transcript has 2 exons. Lineage: Eukaryota; Metazoa; Porifera; Demospongiae; Haplosclerida; Niphatidae.
AGUAGAGUAGACCAUUUUAAUAAGACUGCAGGUAAUUUGUAGCACAGAUAUAGUCAACAGUGACACGACAAAACAGUAGAGUACAGUACCGGGGUAUACUUGCGUAGCUGCCACGAAUGACGGUACAGUAUCACGAGUGUACUUUCGCUGGACGGGCGUAUGCGGAGGGGAGCGAAGCGGCACCGUAGUUUCCAAGCUGCUGGUUCAUGCAUAGCCUCGCUACCUCCGACGUUCUGCGGUAGCACCGAGCAAGUUCGGUGCGCUACUUAGCCUUUUUUUUGCACUAUACUGUACAUAUACUAAAUAAAAGAGAAGAGAAUGAAAAGUAUAGGAAUAUAAUAAGAAGGAAUAAACCAACAGCAGAAAAUGUUUUUAUUGCUCAUUAUGACUAUCAUGCAACAACAAAUAGUCAAAUAUCAUUCAGUGAGGGAGAGCAGCUGGAGAUAUAUGAGAA